Pongo pygmaeus (Bornean orangutan) is the source of this 3149-nucleotide long non-coding RNA. RefSeq lists it as uncharacterized. The transcript is spliced from 2 exons. Lineage: Eukaryota; Metazoa; Chordata; Mammalia; Primates; Hominidae. The record is from RefSeq and is a predicted model, not a curated record.
UCUUAGAAAUGCCUGUAUAUUCCACUCUAGAGGGCUAGUCUCUGGUGGCAGUAUCUAUUAAUUUAUUGCCAGUGGUACUGACUUCUCCUGGGUAACUCGCUUUAUUUGUGGGAGAAAGGGUUAGGAUAAUGUAGUUUCCACACAAGAUAUUCCCUACUGAACCACAUGGUGGGGCAGUGUUCUUGUUAUGCUUGUUAAGGCUGAGGUGUUUGAUUGAUUUGGCUUGGGGUUUCUCAGAGCAAAAGCAUUGCUUCUCGAUUACAGCUGUAUCGAGCUCUAUAAAUGAGCCACUGAUUUUGACAGGUUCACACCUGUAAUCCCAGUGCUUUGGGAAGCCGAGCGAGAGGACUGCUUGAGUCCAGGAGUUAGAGGUUACAGUGAACUAUGAUUGUGCCACUGCACUCCAGCCUGAGCAAGAGUGAGACCCCCAUCUCCUUGAGGGGGGAAAAAAAAAGCACUGCUGUGAUCAUGUGCGUUAACACCAGGAGCUGGACUGAUAAUAUAAUCCUCAGGAGGACCUAAAGGGAUCCACUUGUGUGACCAUGGUAGAGCCAGGAAAUCCCAUCAACCUAGAAAGUGAAAAAUGGGAGUUUUUCUCAGUCACCACCUUGUGAUCAUACUUCUCCCAAACACCAUGCCUUUCCCUUCUCAGCUCAGCUACUCCUUUAACAAGUUUCUGCAUCUGAACCAUUUUCCCCUCAUCUCUUCAUCUUCAAAGGCCUUUAUCUUUAUCCUUUAAAUCCAAUUUGUUCUGAAUGUCUGGGAACCAAAAAAGCUUUAAGGAAUGCUUUCUCGGCCGGGCACAGUGGCUCCCACCUGUAAUCCUAGCACUUUGGGAGGUCAAGGCGGGAGGAUCACUUGUGCUCAGGAGUUUGAACCAGCCGGGGCAACAUGGGGAAGCCUCAUCUUUAUAAAAAAUACAAAAGAACAUUGGUCAGGAGUGGUGGUCCAUGCCUGUGGUCACAGCUACUUGGGAGGCUGAGGUCAGAGGAUCACUUGAGCCCAGGAGGUCAAGGCUACAGUGAGCCAUGAUCACGCCACUGCAGUCCAGCCUGGGCUAAAAAAAAAAAAAAAAGCUUUCUAUGCCCAGAGACCAGCACUGGGUGUGAUUAAACCACAGCACUGCCCCCAGGAAGCUUAGGGUCAGCGUCAGGCUUGUGGCUACUCCUUGACUUGUUCCAGAGGACCCAGCUGAGGUGUGUGACAUGGAAUGGGCAGGAGAGGAAAACCUGAAACCCCUAAGGAUGCUGAGACUGAAGGGGUGGGCCAUAACCCAGGCCUGGCUUAAGGUCCACUGAGUUAAAAACAAGUUCUUGGGAAUCUGAAUGGAAAUUUAACAUGUUCCCGAUGAAGGAAACUUCCUGCUGGCCUGUGUGAGCCUUAAAGGCUACUCUAAGGAUUAUGGAGACAGGCAGCUAGUGGGUCAGUGAACUAAUCAGAUUCUGUAUGUCUGCUCUCUAACUGUCAAAGCCAGUUGUUUUUAAAAUGUGGUCCCCAGACCAGCAAACUUCAGGCUCCCCUGGGACUUCUUGUUAACACAAAUUCUCUGGUCCCUCCCCGGGGCUACCAAACCAGUAACUUGGGGUAGGGCCCAUCCUGGGGCAUAAGAAUGCGUUCAGGUGAUUCUGAUGUAUGCGAAAGUAUGAGAACCACGCAAUUCCAAAAUCUGACUCCACUUUUGCUUUUUGCUACAAGAUCCCUCUCAAUCUUUCGCUUGCUGAUUCAGUCAGGUCUGGUGUUGCUUUUUUUUUUUUUGAGACAGAGUCUCACUCUGUCACCCAGGCUGGAGUGCAGUGGCACAAUCUCGGCUCACUGAAACCUCCCCCUCCCAGGUUCAAGCGAUUCUUGUGCCUCAGCCUCCCGAGUAGCUGGGAUUACAGGCACGUGCCACCAUGCCUGGCUAAUUUUUUGUAUUUUUAGUAGAGACAGGGUUUCACCAUGUUGGCCAGGCUGGUCUCAAACUCCUGACCUCAGCUGAUCCACCUGUCUUGGCCUCCCAAAGUGCUGGGAUAACAGGCGUGAGCCACCAUGCCCGGCUGGCUUCUCUAUUAAGGCGGACAGGGUCAUCUCCUGGUUAUCCCCUGACUCAGAUUCCCAUAGGUGGCUCUGCCUCAGAAGCCCCAGGGCACUGUGGUUACUGUUAGGUGUGGCAGUGACUGUUCUGGAUUCUCCCCUUCAGUUCUUACUUGGGCUAUAGUUCAGCAACUUACCUGGUUGCUGUUUACCCUUCAAAGCAAUGCCAAGUUCAUGGGAAACUGUACAUACAUGUAAACUGAAUCUUUGAAACGGCUAUGAGUGGGUAUUGCCAGGGUGAUCUCCAGCUAACUCUGCCAAGCUCGAAUCACACACUUAGGCUAUCCCGGUGCAGGAUUUCAUCUACUCUUCACUAGAUAAAGUACACAGAGGACUUUUAAUUUUAAAAUGUUCUUUUUUGGUCAGUAGUCUUAGUAAGAGAUUUAUAUGAAAAGAGGUAGGAGUAUAUAAAUAGGGUGUUAAAUAUAUCAUGUCACCAAAAAAUUUACCCGAGAAAUAGACGUUUAAAAGCAAUUUUAGAAAACCUUCAAUCAACAAUAUAUAAAUAACUUAAUCUGAGGUAAGAGGGAAAAAUGCCCUGCAAACACUUUAGAAAAAUACAUCUCUGCCACACUACAGAAAUAUACCUUUUACCACAUCUUCUGAAUCCCCAGUUACCCUCCAUCUACCAAAGAUUUUGGGCACCAGAACUAAAGAUGAGAAUCUUUCCCACCCCUACCACUUCCAGGUAAACACAGAGUUCAUGUUCAGCCAGGCUAAAGUACAAGAAAACUGAACCCACUCUCCAUCCCAUCCCAUCCUAGGAUAGGUGGGGCCGAAGCAGAAAUCAUGGAAUGCUCAGGACUCCACCCCUCCCAAGUGCACUGAGCAACCAGCAUCUGGCUGCCACUCCAACCAGUCCUUGAAAGAACUCAGCCCCCAACCCUGACCCCAAAUCUGUCCAACCUGGUUCUAUAGUGUCUUCCAUCUGACCGAGCUCUAGAGUGACAGCUCCAUAUCAGAGCAUCAUCGCUCAACACCCCUGACUCAGGCCAAGACCCAAAUGUCUUCUCCUGGGAGGGAAAGGGAGAAAAAAAGCAAAAAUCAAUAAUAAAGUAUUUUGCAAAAACUCAAGA